GAUGAAUACGACGGUACACCAUCCAAAAUGCCGUGGCUUCCUCCUUCAGUGCGUCCUCUAUUUUUCAACCAAUUGGGAGCCCCCACCACCGAGAGAUCUAAGGUUGCCAUGGUUAUUUCUCUGCUGACCGGGCGGGUAUUGGAAUGGGCUACGGCCGUCUGGGAGAGAGGAGAGGAGGAGCUAGAUUCUUAUGAGGGGUUCAUGGCUCUGUUUUAAAUGUAUUUUUGAUCAUCCCGCGGAGGUCAGAGAGGGAGGUGAGCGUCUGCUUCAGCUACAGCAGGGGAAUCAGACGGCUGCUGAGUAUGUGCUUAACUUCCGGACAGUAGCAGCUUCCACUAGAUGGAAUGAGCCGGUGCUUCACACGCUAUUCAGAAGAGGUCCAGACAGAACUGGCCUGUUGGGAUGACUACCUCACCCUGGACACACUCAUUGCGAUGGCCAUCCGCCCCGAUAACCUCCUCCGGGAGCGUUGGUAUUCUCAUCGCUUCUUUCCCUCCUUCGGCAAAUAUUCGGGAUGAGAGCCUGAACCCAUGGAGGUAAGGGUCACACGCCUUUCUGUGGCAGAACGACGCAGACAGAUACAGCUGGGGCUAUGUCUGGAUUGUGGGCAAGGAGGGCACAAGCUCCAGCGGAGUCCGGUACUUCAGGAUCCACUAGAGCAGAGGGACGGUCACGUGAUGUUCCAUCCCCUGGACCAGGACUUCAGUGGAUUCCGGCGCCGCGGGAAACUUUAUGGAUCAGACCCUUGCCUCCUCCCUCAACAUUACCAUCUAUCAGCUCUCCUCUCCUUUUCGAAGACUCGACUGUCGGCCCAUAAGGAUCUGGGACCAUCACACACAUCACUCAACCACUCACCCACUCACUUCGUGGAGUCCAAUCAACAGGAGAACAUGUCUUUCUUCAAUACAAGUGCACCAGGUCACAAAAUCAUCCUCGGCCUCCCUUGGCGCCAAUGCCAUAACCCUAUUAUCUCAUGGUUGAGGAGGAAAAUCAGACUCAUCUGAAUGCCGGUAGACCUGCAUCCCUGUUCCACGUCGGUUGAGAGUCCAAUGGUUGCCCUUCAGCCCAACAUCCCAGAGGAAUACCAGGACCUUAAAGUGGUAUUCUCCAAGACCCGCGCUACUUGUCUCCCUCCUCCUCAUCGCCCCUGGGACUGUGACAUCGACCUGUUUUCCGGUGCUACACCUCCACGCAAACACAUCUACCCUCUGUCUGUGGCUAAGACCCAGGCCAUGGAGGCCUGCGUCUGCUGGGUUCUUCUUCGUGGCCAAGGAGGGAGGAUUACGCCCAUGUAUCGUUUACCGAGGACUCAAUGACAUCACCAAGAAGUAUUGGUACCCUCUCCCGUUGGUGCCGUCAGCCAUAGAGCAGCUCUGCAGGGCCCGGUUCUUCACCAAACUGGACCUGCGGAGUGCCUACAAUCUCAUCCACAUCCGGGAGGGGGAUGAGUGAAAGACGGCGUUCAGCACAAUCUCUGGUAACUACGAGUAUUUGGUUAUGCCCUUUGGCUUAGCCAAUUCUCCGUCAGUGUUCCAGGCAUUCGUCAAUGAGAUGUUCAGGGACAUGCUCGGACGGCAGAUGAUUGUAUACAUCGAUGACAUCCUGAUCUUCUCGACCAACCUGAAAGAUCACAUCACCCACGUCCGAGCAGUCCUGGAACGCCUCUUGGUCAAUCACUUGUUCGUCAUGGCGGAGAAGUGCCAAUUCCAUCAGAGGGCUGUAUCCUUCCUGGGUUACCAAAUCAGCCCGCAGGGAGUGAGGAUAGAGGACAAGAAG
RNAcentral lists this long non-coding RNA (1776 nucleotides) under Salmo salar (Atlantic salmon). Its description in RNAcentral is "lncRNA (ENSSSAG00000090104.1, ENSSSAG00000116134.1)". The record is from RNAcentral. Lineage: Eukaryota; Metazoa; Chordata; Actinopteri; Salmoniformes; Salmonidae.